This 226-nucleotide ribosomal RNA is filed under the name uncultured bacterium. RNAcentral describes it as "partial 16S ribosomal RNA". It matches the Rfam family "Bacterial small subunit ribosomal RNA", at positions 15 to 230 of the family's 1533-position model. The record is from RNAcentral.
GAUCAUGGCUCAGGAUGGACGCUAGCUACAGGCUUAACACAUGCAAGUCGAGGGGCAGCAUGGUCUUAGCUUGCUAAGGCUGAUGGCGACCGGCGCACGGGUGAGUGACACGUAUCCAACCUGCCGUCUACUCUUGGCCAGCCUUCUGAAAGGAAGAUUAAUCCAGGAUGGGAUCAUGAGUUCACAUGUCCGCAUGAUUAAAGGUAUUUUCCGGUAGACGAUGGGG